This 467-nucleotide ribosomal RNA is filed under the name uncultured Magnetospirillum sp. RNAcentral describes it as "bacterial SSU rRNA". It matches the Rfam family "Bacterial small subunit ribosomal RNA", at positions 85 to 587 of the family's 1533-position model. The record is from RNAcentral. Lineage: Bacteria; Pseudomonadati; Pseudomonadota; Alphaproteobacteria; Rhodospirillales; Rhodospirillaceae.
UUCGGCCAUAGUGGCGCACGGGUGAGUAACGCGUGGGAACCUGCCCAGCAGUGGGGGAUAACUUCAGGAAACCGGGGCUAAUACCGCAUACGCCCUUAGGGGGAAAGAUUUAUCGCUGUUGGAGGGGCCCGCGUCCGAUUAGUUUGUUGGUGGGGUAAUGGCCUACCAAGACUACGAUCGGUAGCUGGUCUGAGAGGAUGAUCAGCCACACUGGGACUGAGACACGGCCCAGACUCCUACGGGAGGCAGCAGUGGGGAAUAUUGGACAAUGGGCGCAAGCCUGAUCCAGCAAUGCCGCGUGAGUGAUGAAGGCCUUAGGGUUGUAAAGCUCUUUCGGCGGGGACGAUGAUGACGGUACCCGCAGAAGAAGCCCCGGCUAACUUCGUGCCAGCAGCCGCGGUAAUACGAAGGGGGCUAGCGUUGUUCGGAAUUACUGGGCGUAAAGAGCACGUAGGCGGUUCGUUAAA